RNAcentral lists this ribosomal RNA (400 nucleotides) under uncultured bacterium. RNAcentral's name for it is "bacterial SSU rRNA". It matches the Rfam family "Bacterial small subunit ribosomal RNA", at positions 357 to 774 of the family's 1533-position model. The record is from RNAcentral.
GGGAAUCUUGCGCAAUGGGCGAAAGCCUGACGCAGCCAUACCGCGUGGAUGAUGAAGGUCUUAGGAUUGUAAAAUCCUUUCAGCGGGGACGAUAAUGACGGUACCCGCAGAAGAAGCCCCGGCUAACUUCGUGCCAGCAGCCGCGGUAAUACGAAGGGGGCUAGCGUUGCUCGGAAUUACUGGGCGUAAAGGGAGCGUAGGCGGGUCGUUAAGUUGGGGGUAAAAUCCCGGGGCUCAACCUCGGAACUGCCUUCGAUACUGGCGACCUUGAGUAUGGGAGAGGUGAGUGGAACUCCGAGUGUAGAGGUGAAAUUCGUAGAUAUUCGGAAGAACACCAGUGGCGAAGGCGACUCACUGGCCCAUUACUGACGCUGAGGCUCGAAAGCGUGGGGAGCAAACA